Molecule: ribosomal RNA, 483 nt
Filed under: uncultured bacterium
Lineage: Bacteria
Description: partial 16S ribosomal RNA
Rfam family: Bacterial small subunit ribosomal RNA
Source: RNAcentral
AUUGAACGCUGGCGGCAUGCUUUACACAUGCAAGUCGAACGGCAGCGCGGGCUUCGGCCUGGCGGCGAGUGGCGAACGGGUGAGUAAUGCAUCGGAACGUGCCCAGUAGUGGGGGAUAGCCCGGCGAAAGCCGGAUUAAUACCGCAUACGACCUGAGGGUGAAAGCGGGGGACCGAAAGGCCUCGCGCUAUUGGAGCGGCCGAUGUCGGAUUAGCUAGUUGGUGGGGUAAAGGCUUACCAAGGCGACGAUCCGUAGCUGGUCUGAGAGACGACCAGCCACACUGGGACUGAGACACGGCCCAGACUCCUACGGGAGGCAGCAGUGGGGAAUUUUGGACAAUGGGGGCAACCCUGAUCCAGCCAUGCCGCGUGCGGGAAGAAGGCCUUCGGGUUGUAAACCGCUUUUGUUCGGGAAGAAAUCCUCUGGGCUAAUACCCCGGGGGGAUGACGGUACCGGAAGAAUAAGCACCGGCUAACUACGUG